This 747-nucleotide long non-coding RNA is filed under the name Sorghum bicolor (sorghum). Its description in RNAcentral is "long non-coding RNA (SBIC_LNC014303)". The record is from RNAcentral. Lineage: Eukaryota; Viridiplantae; Streptophyta; Magnoliopsida; Poales; Poaceae.
GGUGUUGUAAGUGAAAUAUAUGGUUAAGAGUAGAGGUCCUUUCUUCCUUCCAAUCCUGUCACUUGGAGUUUAUAUAUUUUUUGAAAAGAAAUUUAGCAUACCUUUAUCCUCAUAGGUUCUCUCAGGUCACUCAUUAUCUUUUGUAUAUCUCACUGAGGCUGUCUUAAUUUGCAAAAAUUCUCAAGCAUACUUACUUUGCAUUUAUUGCCUGAUCAAAACAGGAUCCGAGGAGAGGAAUGCCAUACUCUUAGAUCAAAGACUUUGGAAAUUAAAAACUUGUCAACUCUUACUGGCAAAUUGCUUAUUAGAGGGACCAUGGGCUAUCAUUUUCUUUUUCUUCUUCUCUCUUCUCUCUCUUUUUUUUUAAGUGGAUACCGAGGUACCCCUAAUUCUACUGCUGGACACUUGUCCAUUUUUCUGCGAGGUUAUCGAGCACUUGCUCCUUUUUAUUUCCUCGAAAUAUCGUUAUUUUUACAUAGCCCAAGCCUCUAAUGCAAUAAUACUUCGGAAAAGUGAAUCUUUCUGAAUAAAUGUCUUGAUCUUAGGAGCAUGAUAAAUCUCUCAACAAGGGUCUAACUCAUUUUGAACAAACUCAAUACAGAGUAGAUAGCUGUUAUAAUUAUCUUAAUUAAUAUUUUCAGGUUUAGUAGGCAUAUAAAACACUGAGGAUGGUAGCUAGAAUUUUUGAAUAAAUUCUUCAAGCAACAAUGAUAUCAAGAAUAAGAUACUCAUACUCUACCAUCUCAC